This 438-nucleotide ribosomal RNA is filed under the name uncultured bacterium. Its description in RNAcentral is "bacterial SSU rRNA". It matches the Rfam family "Bacterial small subunit ribosomal RNA", at positions 338 to 793 of the family's 1533-position model. The record is from RNAcentral.
CCUACGGGCGGCAGCAGUGGGGAAUAUUGGACAAUGGGCGCAAGCCUGAUCCAGCCAUGCCGCGUGAGUGAUGAAGGCCCUAGGGUUGUAAAGCUCUUUUGUGCGGGAAGAUAAUGACGGUACCGCAAGAAUAAGCCCCGGCUAACUUCGUGCCAGCAGCCGCGGUAAUACGAAGGGGGCUAGCGUUGCUCGGAAUCACUGGGCGUAAAGGGUGCGUAGGCGGGUCUUUAAGUCAGGGGUGAAAUCCUGGAGCUCAACUCCAGAACUGCCUUUGAUACUGAAGAUCUUGAGUUCGGGAGAGGUGAGUGGAACUGCGAGUGUAGAGGUGAAAUUCGUAGAUAUUCGCAAGAACACCAGUGGCGAAGGCGGCUCACUGGCCCGAUACUGACGCUGAGGCACGAAAGCGUGGGGAGCAAACAGGAUUAGAUACCCGAGUAG